Mastomys coucha (southern multimammate mouse) is the source of this 1092-nucleotide long non-coding RNA. RefSeq lists it as uncharacterized. Lineage: Eukaryota; Metazoa; Chordata; Mammalia; Rodentia; Muridae. The transcript has 2 exons. The record is from RefSeq and is a predicted model, not a curated record.
GGGAGGGGCUGGGCUAACUCUCCUGUCUGCUGCAGGUGGAGAGAGAAAAGUGGGGAUAGGACAUUUUUGGCUCACCCACACCACCACAUGGCAGACAAGUGGCAGGGCUAGCUUACCUGUCCCCAUGCCACCAGGACCAAUUCAAUUGUGCUGCCCAAAUAAGACGGAGAUGAACAUCAUAUAAGCAAAUGAAAAGUUACUUGCUACCAUUAUUAGUCAUUGGAAAGACAAACUUGCACUGUGCUAAGAUAGCAUUGCAUGUCUACAUGGUUAACUUCAAUGAAUUAAUGCAAACAAGAACAGUACUCCAGCAAUGCCAAGUGUCAACAAACAGCUGAACCAUGAGGAUUUUACCUGUGCCUCAUUUAUGUGACUAUUGCAAAGAACCAGUGCUGACAGUGAAGUAGGAAUUUCUUAAAAAGCUGAAAUUUCUUAAAAACAUGUGACUCAGGUAUCACAAUCCUGAAGUUAUCCACUGGGUGCAAAUUAAUGUCUACAAAUAUAUUGAUAUUUGGAUGGUUUUGGUGUAUAUCAUAAUUCUCAACCCUGGAGACCUCCCAGACAUCAUUAAUCAAUGCAUGGACAAAUUGUAUCCCUCAAAUACUAUUUGACAUUUAAAAGGAAGAAAUUAUUGAUACACCUAACAUGGAUCAGCAUUAUCAUAACUGAAAGUCAGGCCAAGAACUCAAGUGACAAUCACAUAAUGACCACACUCACAAUGUAGUGGACUUUUGAAUUAUAAUUAUGCUUACUUGUGAAAAAUUCCUAAGAAUACUUUUAAGUGCUAAAAUUAUCUUAUGUAAACUUAGAUAAACCACCAAUUCACCAAAAUUCCUAGUAUAAACGAAUCUCUGGAUAAGUGCCUAUAUAAUGUGUCCCUGACCUAAUGGUUAUGAAAACUGCCUGAUCACUGAACUACUGUCUUGUACUUCUGUGAACAGCACCUGCUUGCUGCUGAUGUCUACAGCUGUUUUUUUGUACAUAUCAGAGUUGUACUGAUAACCUUUAAAAACUUGCACAAAUUGUAGAUUGUGGCUGCUUCCUAUUACUCCACCUGAAAUAUCCUCAUCAUAGUAAAGAUGAUAUGACCUA